Molecule: transfer RNA, 86 nt
Filed under: Blastocatellia bacterium
Lineage: Bacteria; Pseudomonadati; Acidobacteriota; Blastocatellia
Description: tRNA-Leu
Rfam family: tRNA
About the family: Transfer RNA (tRNA) molecules are approximately 80 nucleotides in length. Their secondary structure includes four short double-helical elements and three loops (D, anti-codon, and T loops).
Source: RNAcentral
GCGAAAGUGGCGGAACUGGAAGACGCGCCAGACUUAGGAUCUGGUGGCCUCGUGCCGUGGGGGUUCGAAUCCCCCCUUUCGCACCA